UAGGCUCUCCAGCUGACAACCAGCUCAUAUGCCACGGUCCUGGCUGACGCUUGCAUCCACCAACAUCUGACAUCGUCAGAAACAAAAGCUCAAAAGAAGUUGGUACUUACUUUUGGGAGCAUGUGUUUACCAAUACAACGCCUUUCAUAAAUCGAGUUCAGGCCCGUUAGUUGGUAUGCUAAGCUUGAGAUUCGGUGCGGGCUGGUUUGGCAUUGACAAGAGGCCUCAGAGCCUUCACAACAAUCAUCAUAUUUGGUCGGAAAUCUGCCUCAUAUUGGAUACAAAGUGCAGCAACUGCUGCCAACUGAACCGACAACAAUUCAGUGUCUAUAGUGGACAGGGAAUUUCGACCCGUGUACUUAUAGUAAAUAGCUAAAGAGGAGAUGUGUUGAAAGUGGACCAAAAUCAUUUGAUUGAAAGAUUCAAAUACACCUUUGAGAUCACUUUAUUUAGAUAUUUAUAAGUUAUUGCAAAUAAUUUUCAUUUUGUGAUUAUUUAAUUCAUAUUCCAAAAUAUUUCAAUUUUCAUGCUCUAAGCAUAUACACUUCUUAGAAUCUUAUGCAAUCCAUAAAACUCCUUCUGCGAAACAUAAAUCAAGACACAAAUCACAACAAAUUUAGGUAGGGUUCCCACCAAAAUAGCUAAAAGGCGAAUGGGUUAAACAAGUUUGAAAGUCAGCCAAAUUCUAAUUUAAAGUACAAAAGGUGUUUACGAGUCAGCCUAACUAGAGCCGGUCUGUUUUGACUUCCGACCCAACCCAUUUUGACCCGUUACCUAACCCACCCAUCUUGCCACAUCUAAUAAUGUGUUUGUGUCACUAUGAGAAAACAUAUAUACGUGUAACAGUUGAGAAUUUUAUUUCAAGAGGAAGAGGAAUAUGAA
Molecule: long non-coding RNA, 882 nt
Organism: Helianthus annuus (common sunflower)
Lineage: Eukaryota; Viridiplantae; Streptophyta; Magnoliopsida; Asterales; Asteraceae
Exons: 3
Source: RefSeq, a predicted model, not a curated record